This 694-nucleotide long non-coding RNA is filed under the name Olea europaea (common olive). RNAcentral describes it as "long non-coding RNA (OEUR_LNC012553)". The record is from RNAcentral. Lineage: Eukaryota; Viridiplantae; Streptophyta; Magnoliopsida; Lamiales; Oleaceae.
CCAAAUCAACGAUUGCAACUUUACUCUCGCAAAUCGAUCGGCGAAAUUCGCCUCUUCCAAGCAUAGAGUGUCUCUUGCACGUACAGUUGAACCUGCACAACUACAUCUUGUGUUGACUGGUCGAAUCUACAUUCUCCACAGACCGUCAAGAUUUUUUGGCUGAUUUUCACUACCUCUUCUGCUUCACCAAAAUUUGAACCUCAUUCUAUCCCAUCUGUCACAUUCAAUCAUAUCGAAGGUCAUUCCCUUCAAAGUCCAAUUCAUUCCCAUAAUCACUAAACUCUGGGUCAUCAUCUGAACCAGAUUCUUGUCCAUCAUGCGAAUCUCCAUGGUUUGAAGCUUUGUAAUUUGCAGAGUCGUGGUAUUCUUAAAAUGGGUCAUAAUUUGCAAAUCGAAAAGAAAAUUAUUUUAUACAUGGAAACAAUACUUCAACACGUACAGCACAAUCCCAAGAAGAAGAAAAAAAUCUUUUAUGAGAAGAAAACAAACAAAAAUUCUUUAAAGUUACCUUUGUGUGGUCCCUCCAUUUGUGCGUUUGUCAAUGGUUCUACAGGUGGGGUAGUGCGCGGGGGAACACUUUCAAGUUGGGAUUAGCCGAUUAGGGUUCGUGGAGGGUUUGGGGGAAAAACAAUUUGGAAGUCCGGUGAUCAUUUUCAAUGGGGAUAGUCGUUGGUUUUAGAGGAGGAAGUUCAGU